RNAcentral lists this ribosomal RNA (253 nucleotides) under uncultured bacterium. Its description in RNAcentral is "partial 16S ribosomal RNA". It matches the Rfam family "Bacterial small subunit ribosomal RNA", at positions 524 to 776 of the family's 1533-position model. The record is from RNAcentral.
UACGUAGGGGGCUAGCGUUGUCCGGAAUCACUGGGCGUAAAGCGUGCGUAGGUGGCGCGUUAAGUGAGAUGUUAAAUCGUGUGGCUCAACCAUAUCGAUGCAUCUCAUACUGGCGUGCUAGAGGGAAGCAGAGGCAAGUGGAAUUUGUAGUGUAGCAGUGAAAUGCGUAGAUAUUACAAGGAACACCAAUGGCGAAGGCAGCUUGCUGGGCUUCUUCUGACACUGAGGUACGAAAGCGUGGGGAGCGAACAGG